CAAAUUAUGUCAUCCUACAUGCUCUGACUUUUUGUUUUGCUUUUUAUUUCCAGUGACGGAGAUGGACAAUACUGAUCUACUCACAUUCUCCAGCUGCCCCUGCAGUCAGAUGCCUAGCAGAAAUUAUGCAAAGUCUCUGUAAAAGAUGAUAAGCCAGUAGUCUCUGUUCCAAAACAAGAUUCAGAACUCCCAUCAUUCUUAAAUUCCCUGGGCACUGGAAUCCUUGAGUCUGCAGUGGAAUAUGUUCUCUCCUCAAUGGCCCGGAGAUCUGGAUUUUCUGAUGUGGAAGAUAAACCAGAAAAGACUUCAUAAAAAGAACUGGAUGCCAAUCUCAGCUCCUCAACCAGACCAGGCCCCUCCUUUCCCUCAGCUUUCCUGGUUGUCCAGCCCAGAGACCCUGAGCUGCUGUUAUUGCUUUGGAUAUCAGUAGCUCCAGUCCCCUGGCUCAGCCUCAGAAGAUUAUGUGUAAAUGAUCACUCUUCCCUUCCUGGAAGACAAAAUAAAGUCCAUAAACUCAUGAUAUUGAGUCA
RNAcentral lists this long non-coding RNA (530 nucleotides) under Vombatus ursinus (common wombat). RNAcentral's name for it is "lncRNA (ENSVURG00010024471.1)". Lineage: Eukaryota; Metazoa; Chordata; Mammalia; Diprotodontia; Vombatidae. The record is from RNAcentral.